This 767-nucleotide ribosomal RNA is filed under the name Coilia macrognathos (Longjaw grenadier anchovy). RNAcentral describes it as "partial 16S ribosomal RNA". The stretch from base 1 to 508 matches the Rfam family "Bacterial large subunit ribosomal RNA", at positions 585 to 1301 of the family's 2925-position model. Lineage: Eukaryota; Metazoa; Chordata; Actinopteri; Clupeiformes; Engraulidae. The record is from RNAcentral.
GCAAAGAAUAUUCCUUGUACCUUUUGCAUCAUGAUUCAGCCAGUAAAAUACAUGCAAAGAGUCCUCUAGUUUGUAACCCCGAAACCCGACGAGCUACUCCGGGACAGCCUAUUAAGGGCCAACUCGUCUCUGUGGCAAAAGAGUGAGAAGAUCCCCGAGUAGAAGCAAAAGACCUACCGAGCCGGGUUAUAGCUGGUUGCCCGACAAAUGAAUAAAAGUUCAGCCCCGCACAGCCCAAUUCAUAAUAGUCCUACUCAAAAAGAUAAAGAGCUAUCAAGCGGGAGUUAAUCAGAGGAGGUACAGCUCCUCUGAUAUAGGACACAACCUUAUUAAGGAGAUUAAAGAACACAAUUAAACAAGGCCACAGGUCUCAGUGGGCCUGAAAGCAGCCACCAGACCAGAAAGCGUUAAAGCUCAGACCAAAAUAAGCCUAUUAUUAUAUUAAAUACUCCAAAAUCCCUCUCACAAGCGGGCUUUUCUAUGCCCCCAUAGAAGAAAUUAUGCUGAAAUGAGUAACAAGAAGUUUGAACUUCUCCACGCACAAGUGUAAAUCGAAUUGGACCAACCACCGAUGAUUAACGAACCCAACAACAGAGGGCCCUACAUCACCGCCACCACAGGCCAAGAAAAACAUAUUUCCCAAAAUCGUUAACCCCACACAGGAGUGCCCAGCCAAGGAAAGACUAAAAGAAAAAAAAGGAACUCGGCAAACCUAAACCCCGCCUGUUUACCAAAAACAUCGCCUCUUGCAUCUCCUGUAUAAGAGG